RNAcentral lists this ribosomal RNA (431 nucleotides) under uncultured bacterium. RNAcentral's name for it is "bacterial SSU rRNA". It matches the Rfam family "Bacterial small subunit ribosomal RNA", at positions 29 to 506 of the family's 1533-position model. The record is from RNAcentral.
ACGAACGCUGGCGGCAUGCCUAAUACAUGCAAGUCGAACGAACACUUCGGUGUUAGUGGCGCACGGGUGCGUAACGCGUGGGGAUCUACCCUUGGGUUCGGAAUAACAGUGGGAAACUACUGCUAAUACCGGAUGAUGACGUAAGUCCAAAGAUUUAUCGCCCAGGGAUGAGCCCGCGUAGGAUUAGCUAGUUGGUAAGGUAAAAGCUUACCAAGGCUACGAUCCUUAGCUGGUCUGAGAGGAUGAUCAGCCACACUGGGACUGAGACACGGCCCAGACUCCUACGGGAGGCAGCAGUAGGGAAUAUUGGACAAUGGGCGAAAGCCUGAUCCAGCAAUGCCGCGUGAGUGAUGAAGGCCUUAGGGUUGUAAAGCUCUUUUACCCGGGAUGAUAAUGACAGUACCGGGAGAAUAAGCCCCGGCUAACUCCGU